UGGAUCUCGGCCAGCAGCAUAUUC
This 24-nucleotide unclassified non-coding RNA is filed under the name Mus musculus (house mouse). RNAcentral describes it as "oocyte_clustered_small_RNA6175". The record is from RNAcentral. Lineage: Eukaryota; Metazoa; Chordata; Mammalia; Rodentia; Muridae.